Molecule: transfer RNA, 72 nt
Filed under: Ictidomys tridecemlineatus (thirteen-lined ground squirrel)
Lineage: Eukaryota; Metazoa; Chordata; Mammalia; Rodentia; Sciuridae
Description: Spermophilus tridecemlineatus (thirteen-lined ground squirrel) tRNA
Rfam family: tRNA
About the family: Transfer RNA (tRNA) molecules are approximately 80 nucleotides in length. Their secondary structure includes four short double-helical elements and three loops (D, anti-codon, and T loops). Further hydrogen bonds mediate the characteristic L-shaped molecular structure. tRNAs have two regions of fundamental functional importance: the anti-codon, which is responsible for specific mRNA codon recognition, and the 3' end, to which the tRNAs corresponding amino acid is attached (by aminoacyl-tRNA synthetases). tRNAs cope with the degeneracy of the genetic code in two manners: having more than one tRNA (with a specific anti-codon) for a particular amino acid; and 'wobble' base-pairing, i.e. permitting non-standard base-pairing at the 3rd anti-codon position.
Source: Rfam by way of RNAcentral
UGGGGUGUGGCUCAGUGGUAAAGUGCUUGCCUCCCAUGUAGGGGGCGCUGGGUUCCAUCCUCAGCACCACAU